This 463-nucleotide ribosomal RNA is filed under the name uncultured bacterium. Its description in RNAcentral is "partial 16S ribosomal RNA". It matches the Rfam family "Bacterial small subunit ribosomal RNA", at positions 339 to 795 of the family's 1533-position model. The record is from RNAcentral.
CUACGGGAGGCAGCAGUGGGUAAUAUUGCACAAUGGGCGCAAGCCUGAUGCAGCCAUGCCGCGUGUAUGAAGAAGGCCUUCGGGUUGUAAAGUACUUUCAGCGGGGAGGAAGGGAGUAAAGUUAAUACCUUUGCUCAUUGACGUUACCCGCAGAAGAAGCACCGGCUAACUCCGUGCCAGCAGCCGCGGUAAUACGGGGGUGCAAGCGUUAAUCGGAAUUACUGGGCGUAAAGCGCACGCAGGCGGUUUGUUAAGUCAGAUGUGAAAUCCCCGGGCUCAACCUGGGAACUGCAUCUGAUACUGGCAAGCUUGAGUCUCGUAGAGGGGGGUAGAAUUCCAGGUGUAGCGGUGAAAUGCGUAGAGAUCUGGAGGAAUACCGGUGGCGAAGGCGGCCCCCUGGACGAAGACUGACGCUCAGGUGCGAAAGCGUGGGGAGCAAACAGGAUUAGAUACCCCGGUAGUC